Molecule: long non-coding RNA, 413 nt
Organism: Paramisgurnus dabryanus
Lineage: Eukaryota; Metazoa; Chordata; Actinopteri; Cypriniformes; Cobitidae
Source: RefSeq, a predicted model, not a curated record
GUUGUUGCAAUCGUUAUAACGUUACUGUAAUCAAACUUAUAUGUUUUAUAGAUUUACCGAGCAAUCAAAACAAAGUAUAACGUUACAGUUUACUACAUCUUUACUACAACUUCGUACACAAUUCACAGAGCAAUAAAGUAUAACUGUAAGUUACUACGGCUUUACUACAGCUUCGUGCACAAUGGAGCCUCGCUUCAGGAGACGGGCUGAUGGCAGCCUGAAUCUUUCGGACACACUGGAAGCAGCAAAGGUGAAGGAAGCCAACAAAGGAAAGCCUUACACAAGACCCCUGUCCCCGGAGGCUGUGCUGGACAAGGCCAAGAAAAGCUUAAGUCAGCACCAUGGAGAUCCAGCUAACAGAAAGCACCUGCUGGGUUUCUUUGAAAUCCAGUUUGGUAUCUUUCGUGGGCAAA